RNAcentral lists this ribosomal RNA (574 nucleotides) under Pantoea agglomerans. RNAcentral describes it as "bacterial SSU rRNA". It matches the Rfam family "Bacterial small subunit ribosomal RNA", at positions 72 to 649 of the family's 1533-position model. Lineage: Bacteria; Pseudomonadati; Pseudomonadota; Gammaproteobacteria; Enterobacterales; Erwiniaceae. The record is from RNAcentral.
UUGCUCUCGGGUGACGAGUGGCGGACGGGUGAGUAAUGUCUGGGGAUCUGCCCGAUAGAGGGGGAUAACCACUGGAAACGGUGGCUAAUACCGCAUAACGUCGCAAGACCAAAGAGGGGGACCUUCGGGCCUCUCACUAUCGGAUGAACCCAGAUGGGAUUAGCUAGUAGGCGGGGUAAUGGCCCACCUAGGCGACGAUCCCUAGCUGGUCUGAGAGGAUGACCAGCCACACUGGAACUGAGACACGGUCCAGACUCCUACGGGAGGCAGCAGUGGGGAAUAUUGCACAAUGGGCGCAAGCCUGAUGCAGCCAUGCCGCGUGUAUGAAGAAGGCCUUCGGGUUGUAAAGUACUUUCUUCGGGGAGGAAGGCGAUGGGGUUAAUAACCCUGUCGAUUGACGUUACCCGCAGAAGAAGCACCGGCUAACUCCGUGCCAGCAGCCGCGGUAAUACGGAGGGUGCAAGCGUUAAUCGGAAUUACUGGGCGUAAAGCGCACGCACGCGGUCUGUUAAGUCAGAUGUGAAUCCCCGGGUUUAACCUGGGAACUGCAUUUUAAACUGGCAGGCUUGAGUCU